CCUAAUGCCAGCCAGUUCAAGUACAUCUUUAGGAUGUAAAGCUGAUGGCCCAGUGUGGGGUUGUUAAACCAUGCAGAAAGCAAUGUGACGGCACAGGAUGACACAGAGUCCCUACCAGCUGUCAUCGACACCUCUACAAGCCUGUCAGCUGUAGAUGUGUCCUCUGCAGCAGGAGGAGAAGAUCUUCCAUCCCCGUUUGCUGACAUUCCUGCCCUAGUACAUGAUCACAGCUACCUUCCCGUCCACUUCGAUGGUCUUGUGGACAACGCUCUCAUGUACAUUUCAGGCUCUGAAGAAGCUGUCGUGUGAUGUCUGCCGUGCCAGCCUGGUGACAUGCUGCAUCUGCCAUCAAGGACCAGAGCUACCACAUGCUGAAUUAAUAAAACAAUGGAGGUCUGGUGAUUCCAUCAGAGGGAACCAUGGGUCAUUCGGCAGUCAUCAGGCAGUACCAGACAAUCACAGCCCAUCAAACUGCUUGAGGUUGUUUACAUUGUCUGAAAAAGGAUCGGUUCAGAGGAUGUUUGUGUUGGGAUGGACAGUAUGGGAUAGACAUCCACCACCAUAGGCUGUUAAAAAUAAUUCUGUCCCUGUUUUUUAAGUUAAGGCUGCACAUCGCCAGAAUUACAAUCCUCAGCUUACAGAGCAACAACAUGCGACAAACUUAAUAAAACUGUCCUUUUCAAAGGGCAUUAGCCCAAGGUAUGUGUUUUCAAGGUACUGUCCUCUUUUACUUCAACAGUAGUGUAGUGCUCUCUACAGCAUUUAUUUAUUUAUGUAUAUAUAAA
Long non-coding RNA from Esox lucius (northern pike), 785 nucleotides. NCBI's taxonomy places the organism in Eukaryota, Metazoa, Chordata, Actinopteri, Esociformes, Esocidae. The record is from Ensembl.